GACAACAUUCCCAACUCCUUUAGGCCCAAGAGAGGGGCUGAGGAACAAGGUCAGUUUAAAGCAAUGCAGUGCUCUAACGACAGCUCUGGCAAACACUUCCAGAGCUCUGCCCCCAUGGCUCUGUGCCCAGCCACACCCUUCCCUAGUUGAAGUGAUGAUAACAGAACCCUCCUUCCCCUCCCAGGCAGCGACAGUGGUAUGAUGAUCCUUUCUACACCAAAGAAGCAGCAAGAUGGGUCCCUCUGCCUCCUAAGAGGCAGGAGUGGCAGCAAUCCCCCACACCCCACCACCACUAAUGUUUACCCCAAUAACCAGGGUCUGUUUUGGUUGGUGGGCAAGGCCUACUGCAUUAUUCUUCUGCUACAUGCAGAGUCCUCUGCUGGGUCGGCCUUGUUGGGGGCACCCAGAGCCGCAAGCCAUUUUGAUGCAUGGGACAGUGCACAUCACUCAAAGCUGUCGUUUCAAGCUGUCUGCAGAUUCAGAAAAACAUCUCUGCAUCAGUUACAGUUGGGGGGCAUAGCCCAUACAGCUUCAAAAUUUUCUUCACAACUAUGAAAUCUAGCAACUUUCCUUUAAAAAAAAGAAAAAAAGAACUGAGAUUCAGAUGUAAUCACAAAACUCUAGGAGCAGAGGUCCUUUGCAUACACCUCUGGUGCCUAUGUAGGGUGGUCAACUUUCUAAUCUGUGAAAACGGGACAUUGAGUGCCAGAACUUCCCCUGCCUCCUGCUCCGCCUCUUCCCUCGAGGCCCUCCCCGCCACUCCUCUUUCCACCCCACUGUCACUUGCUGCUUUCUCCAUCACCCUCCCCCUGCCAGCUGAGCAGGGUUCUAGGGGUGGAAGUGUGCCUGGGCAAGACGCUGGAGAGAGAGAGAGAUGGACGCUGAGGGUAAAAGGCCCAACCUCAUCGGACACUGAGGGACUAGAGUCUACAUUCUUCUGCAGACGCAUGCAGUUUCUGGAAGAAAACAGUGUCCUGUUACAGGGAGGCUGCUGGUUACUUCUGAAAGCAGGCAGUGUGCCACCCCUACUCCCAUCCCACCCACCAUGGUGAUGGAAAACCGAUAUGCUGCCCUGGCAACGAGCGAUGAGGAAUCGGCCCCAAAGCUGGAGAAGGAGAAGCCAUGUACCCCCAAGGCUGGAAGAAUCACAGCCACCGCUCCCAGGAGGAAACAUAAGAGUGAGGUAGAGCAACAAAAAAGCUGGCCCUGAAUUACUGACUACUAUGGCUGAAACCAACAUCCUAUAGUCGUUUUGGAAGAAGCAAGUCCACUGACUGUUUGCUUACACACCCAUUCAAGAACUGGUGCCUGCAUUCCACAUACAAUACCUUGACUGCAAGAAUAUUCUCAGUGGGACUUGAGUUCCAAAAGUAACUCAGCAACUAAAGCUGCCACUCACAAAUUCAUUUGUAAAUACUUAUUGGGCUAUUUUGAUGGAUGAUACAACACACAUUUAAUCUGUAAUUACAUUUUCUACUGCUUCCAUCUACUCAGGAAUCUUAUUGAUUAUUGCAGCUACAGUUGUACUUGGCCAAAGCUGCUUUUCUUUCCAAAACAAAUAACCUGUGUCACACAGGCAUUAAUUAAAGAACUGUAAUGAAGAACUGAAAUUAAACAGCGAAUAAAAUGCAUUUCAGACUAUAUUAUACAAAAGCAUUACAUUUCAAAGAUAACUGCACUGCUAUAACAUGGCCUCUGAUCAUCACCAAAAAACCAGAAGUUAGCCCAGACUGCAGUCCAGAAGAAAACUCUUUAAUGACUUUGAUAGACAGAAAAUGUUGUAAGCAGCCAGACAGCAGGUAGCCAAUGCAGACUGUUUUUAAAGCCAUGACGCCUGCCAAAAUUCAGAAGAAUACUUCACCCAUUGUUGGCCCAUGCUAUUCUCAAUAUUUUAUUUCCAAAUUCACGUCCACAGGAAGAAUCUGAAGGCAGACUCACAACGUAUGAAAAAACCACAAGAGAGAGAGCACAUUGUAUCCACUGAGAACAUUCACCAACACCAUCACCUGUCUGCCUCCUGUAGCUUGUUUCAGGAGCCCAAACAGCAGAGCGUCAGAGACUUUUGAAUGUGUGAGGUCAAUCUCGGUGAAUGACACAUUCUCCCAUUUUUCAAACCCACUCCUUUCCCAAAACAGGGAUUGUUCCUGCUUCAGGAUGCAACCAUUAACAGGACCACCAACAUUCCUCACUGCACCAUCACCUAGCCUGCAAAACUUUUUACCAGUGACCAGAAAGCAGGAAAAUCUCUCAUUACAGCCUCUUACCCAAACUGGCCGGUUGGGAAAUGAAGACCACUACAAAAGAGUCCAAAAAUAGCCAAAAGGCAAGAAUAUCCCUUUCAUGAUGUUCUCCCCUCUCCUGCGGAUCCAAGAAGCAAAAGACUCCACGUGACAGAACACCAGGUUGCCCCGGGAACACCCUUUCUCCAAGUCCAUAUUAUGUAUAGCCUUGGAGAAAAAAUGGGCAAGUUUCUUAUCUAAGUGAGGGCAUAAAGAGGAGCUAACGAUGUUGCCAAUUCAUGUAUGUAUUUAAGUGACAUUUCUGCUUGUACUUGAAACAUGCUAUUAUGUUUCCAGGAGUGAAUAAAGUUCAACAAUACAUAUAAAUGUGCACACGUACACCAACAUGCUGUGUGCCAAGGGCUAUAUAUUCAGCAAAAAUAAUACAUGGUGAACCUACAGUGAGGAUUAAUGUUGUCAGCUGCUAAACCAAAGACAAUGUGGUAAGCAAGGAGCUAGUAAUCUCAUUUAAAAAAACCCAACGUCUUAUAUUGGUAUUAUUGAACCAAAGCAAGAUCCUGUUAUGUACAAACCUAUGCAGAAAUGCACCAAUUUUCCCCUGAGUAAAUACACUAAUGGCCUAUAUAACUGAUGUUGGGCAGAAAACUGUACCUAAGGAUAUCUUGCUCAAUCAGUUUUGGAAAACUUCUGCUUCAAGACACUAAAGCUGUUCCAGCUGCUUUCUUUCACUGCAAAAACUGCUUGCAUUAUGUUUGAAAACUGUGUUAUCUUGAAAGCUUAGUCAUCAGUGAACAGUUUUAUAAGAAGAAAAGAUUAGAACAUAUGCACAGUGUUGUAUAAUUUUACUACUUGUUGACACCAAUACUGAACUUUUUAUUUUUUGUUUAAUAACAUUAUUUAAUGUUGUGCUACCAUACAUGUUUUCUAACAACAAUAUUUUAGCUAUGAAACUAUAUGCUUAAGUGCCUCCCUAUUUAGGGAAAACACUUAAGGAUGUGCUUAAAUCCCAUUGGCUUUCAUGGAACAUCCUGCUUUCCCGAAAAGGAAUCCUUUCCUGAAUCAUAGCCUCAGUGAACAACAAAGAAAAUAUAUAUAAGAUUAUCUUCUCAACAUCUGAUGCAGAAAUAUAUUGGUAAUAUUAACAGUUGUAUAUGUAAAUAUUUAUUAAGGAUAGCUAGCUAUUUAGAAUAGAUGUAUUUCUGAAGCACUUAUCACAGUAGAACCUGAGUGAUAAGCAAUAGGAAUGUUUACCUUGUGUGUUUUGCUGGAAGAUUUUAUUUAGGUCCAAGGAGG
This is an RNA transcript of Gopherus flavomarginatus (Mexican gopher tortoise), 3533 nucleotides long. RefSeq lists it as uncharacterized. NCBI's taxonomy places the organism in Eukaryota, Metazoa, Chordata, Testudines, Testudinidae. The record is from RefSeq and is a predicted model, not a curated record. The transcript is spliced from 4 exons.